RNAcentral lists this ribosomal RNA (392 nucleotides) under Trieres chinensis. Its description in RNAcentral is "partial Bacterial large subunit ribosomal RNA". It matches the Rfam family "Bacterial large subunit ribosomal RNA", at positions 2460 to 2869 of the family's 2925-position model. Lineage: Eukaryota; Bacillariophyta; Thalassiosirophyceae; Eupodiscales; Parodontellaceae. The record is from RNAcentral.
AAGGUACGCCGGGGAUAACAGGCUAAUUAUCCUCUAGAGACCCUAUCGACGGGAUAGUUUGGCACCUCGAUGUUGGAUUAUCGCAUCCUGGAGCUGUAAGCGGUUCCAAGGGUUUGGCUGUUCGCCAAGGAAGGCGGUACAUGAUCUGAGUUUAGAACGUCGUGAGACAGUUUGGUCCCUAUCUACCGUAGACGAGAAAAUUUAAAAGGAGUAAACCAUAGUACGAGAGGACCUGGAAAAAUGAAUCUCUUGUGUAUCGGUUGUUUUACCAAAGGCAUCGCCGAGUAGCUACAUUCAUAAUAAAUAAUCGCUGAAAGCAUUUAAGCGAGAAAUUAUCCUUUAAUUGUUUUCAAAAAAAGUGUAAUAGAAUAUUACGUAAUAGGCUUGAUGUG